This 253-nucleotide ribosomal RNA is filed under the name uncultured bacterium. RNAcentral's name for it is "partial 16S ribosomal RNA". It matches the Rfam family "Bacterial small subunit ribosomal RNA", at positions 524 to 776 of the family's 1533-position model. The record is from RNAcentral.
UACGAAGGGAGCUAGCGUUGCUCGGAAUCACUGGGCGUAAAGCGCACGUAGGCGGCUUUUUAAGUCAGGGGUGAAAUCCUGGAGCUCAACUCCAGAACUGCCUUUGAUACUGGCGAGCUUGAGUUCGGGAGAGGUGAGUGGAACUGCGAGUGUAGAGGUGAAAUUCGUAGAUAUUCGCAGGAACACCAGUGGCGAAGGCGGCUCACUGGCCCGAUACUGACGCUGAGGUGCGAAAGCGUGGGGAGCAAACAGG